Non-coding RNA from Morus notabilis, 102 nucleotides. NCBI's taxonomy places the organism in Eukaryota, Viridiplantae, Streptophyta, Magnoliopsida, Rosales, Moraceae. The record is from Rfam.
GUCCUUUCGAGGACAUUCCAUAAAAUUAGAACGAUACGGAGAAGAUUAAUAUGACCAUGCACAAAGAUGACAUCCACAAAUCAAGAAAUGGUUAAUAUAUUC